RNAcentral lists this long non-coding RNA (380 nucleotides) under Carica papaya (papaya). RNAcentral's name for it is "long non-coding RNA (CPAP_LNC006390)". Lineage: Eukaryota; Viridiplantae; Streptophyta; Magnoliopsida; Brassicales; Caricaceae. The record is from RNAcentral.
AUAGUAAAUGACUGUAGAAAAUGGUUAUGGAUUGAACCAAGGGAAUGAUGAAUCAACAACAACAUGAAGAAGUGAUUGCACCUAAUUGUUUGGACAAAUCUAUAAGUUUAUAGCUAGAUACUGGGGAGAUGCCAAAUAAUAUGAGCUUGAAUGCUGAUAAGUCUAUCUUGGACAAUGCUGUAAAUUUAAAUAUGAUGAGCAACUAAUUUUUUAAGUCAAAUAAUAUGGUUAAUCUUAUGGUGGUGAAUAAUAAACAUGAGUACGAGUCAAAAAGCAAUAACUUGGAAUAAGGCCCAUCGAUGUUUGUGGGUUGACGAAUGUGAGCUUCAACAAUCAAUUGGAAAUGACCUUUAGUGAUUCUUAUGAUUCAAACAACACUG